AUGAGAAAAGCCGACUCACUAGAAAAGAGCUUGAUGUUGGGAAAGAUUGAAGGCAAAAGGAGAAGGGGACGACAGAGGGUGAGAUGGUUAGAGAGCAUCACCGACUCAGUGGACGUGCGUCUGAGCAAACUCUGGGAGCUGGUGAAGGACGGGAGGCCUGGCGUGCCGCAGUCCACGGGUUGUGGAGUCGAGACGCCUGAGCGACCGAGCAACAGUGCUAGCAAAGCCAGGGUCAGGGGUGGCCAGACGGCGAGCCAGGGUCAGGGAUGGCCAGACGGCGAGCCAGGGUCAGGGAUGGCCAGACGGCGAGCCAGGGUCAGGGAUGGCCAGACGGCGAGCCAGGGUCAGGGGUGGUCAGACGGCAGCCAGGGUCAGGGGUGGCCAGACGCGAGCCAGGGUCAGGGAUGGCCAGACGGCCAGCCAGGGUCAGGGGCCGAGCCAGGGUCAGGGGCCGAGCCAGGGUCAGGGGCCGAGCCAGGGUCAGGGGUGGCCAGACGGCGAGCCAGGGUCAGGGGCCGAGCCAGGGUCAGGGGUGGUCAGACGGCGAGCCAGGGUCAGGCCGAGCCAGGGUCAGGGGUGGUCAGGCGCGAGCCAGGGUCAGGGGUGGUCAGACGCGAGCCAGGGUCAGGGGUGGCCAGACGCGAGCCAGGGUCAGGGAUGGCCAGACGGCGAGCCAGGUCAGGGGCCGAGCCAGGGUCAGGGGCCGAGCCAGGGUCAGGGGCCGAGCCAGGGUCAGGGGUGGCCAGACGGCGAGCCAGGGUCAGGGGCCGAGCCAGGGUCAGGGGUGGUCAGACGGCCAGCCAGGGUCAGGGGCCGAGCCAGGGUCAGGGGUGGUCAGACGGCAGCCAGGGUCAGGGGUGGUCAGACGCGAGCCAGGGUCAGGGGCCGAGCCAGGGUCAGGGGCCGAGCCAGGGUCAGGGGCCGAGCCAGGGUCAGGGGUGGCCAGACGGCGAGCCAGGGUCAGGGAUGGCCAGACGGCGAGCCAGGGUCAGGGAUGGCCAGACGGCGAGCCAGGGUCAGGGAUGGCCAGACGGCGAGCCAGGGUCAGGGGUGGUCAGACGGCAGCCAGGGUCAGGGGUGGCCAGACGCGAGCCAGGGUCAGGGAUGGCCAGACGGCCAGCCAGGGUCAGGGGCCGAGCCAGGGUCAGGGGCCGAGCCAGGGUCAGGGGCCGAGCCAGGGUCAGGGGUGGCCAGACGGCGAGCCAGGGUCAGGGGCCGAGCCAGGGUCAGGGGUGGUCAGACGGCGAGCCAGGGUCAGGGGCCGAGCCAGGGUCAGGGGCCGAGCCAGGGUCAGGGGCCGAGCCAGGGUCAGGGGUGGCCAGACGGCGAGCCAGGGUCAGGGGCCGAGCCAGGGCCUCCUAG
RNAcentral lists this long non-coding RNA (1362 nucleotides) under Bos grunniens (domestic yak). RNAcentral's name for it is "lncRNA (ENSBGRG00000024281.1)". The record is from RNAcentral. Lineage: Eukaryota; Metazoa; Chordata; Mammalia; Artiodactyla; Bovidae.